This 492-nucleotide ribosomal RNA is filed under the name uncultured bacterium. Its description in RNAcentral is "partial 16S ribosomal RNA". It matches the Rfam family "Bacterial small subunit ribosomal RNA", at positions 29 to 507 of the family's 1533-position model. The record is from RNAcentral.
AGUGAACGCUGGCGGUAGGCCUAACACAUGCAAGUCGAACGGCAGCACAGUAAGAGCUUGCUCUUACGGGUGGCGAGUGGCGGACGGGUGAGGAAUACAUCGGAAUCUACUUUUUCGUGGGGGAUAACGUAGGGAAACUUACGCUAAUACCGCAUACGACCUACGGGUGAAAGCAGGGGAUCUUCGGACCUUGCGCGAUUGAAUGAGCCGAUGUCGGAUUAGCUAGUUGGCGGGGUAAAGGCCCACCAAGGCGACGAUCCGUAGCUGGUCGGAGAGGAUGAUCAGCCACACUGGAACUGAGACACGGUCCAGACUCCUACGGGAGGCAGCAGUGGGGAAUAGUGGACAAUGGGCGCAAGCCUUAUCCAGCCAUACCGCGUGGGUGAAGAAGGCCUUCGGGUUGUAAAGCCCUUUUGUUGGGAAAGAAAAGCAGCAGGUUAAUACCCCGCUGUUCUGACGGUACCCAAAGAAUAAGCACCGGCUAACUUCGUG